This 237-nucleotide unclassified non-coding RNA is filed under the name rhizosphere metagenome. RNAcentral describes it as "partial ribosomal RNA internal transcribed spacer region". The record is from RNAcentral.
GUAGGUGAACCUGCGGAAGGAUCAUUAUUGAUAGAACUUUUCCAAGUUUCUUCAUAUUCCCUGUUUAUAUCAACUACGUUUCUUCCAUCGGACAGGCCUUUUAGGACCCUCUAGCUUGAGCAAAUGCACUUGCUGGGGAGUUGCCGGUGGCGUUUCUAAUAAAAACUUGUCAAUCAUGAACUGUCUGAACUACUUUCAAAUGAAAUAAAACUUUCAACAACGGAUCUCUAGGCUCUU